Molecule: ribosomal RNA, 540 nt
Filed under: Bifidobacterium adolescentis
Lineage: Bacteria; Bacillati; Actinomycetota; Actinomycetes; Bifidobacteriales; Bifidobacteriaceae
Description: partial 16S ribosomal RNA
Rfam family: Bacterial small subunit ribosomal RNA
Source: RNAcentral
GUGGUAAUGCCGGAUGCUCCAGUUGACCGCAUGGUCCUCUGGGAAAGCUUUUGCGGUAUGGGAUGGGGUCGCGUCCUAUCAGCUUGAUGGCGGGGUAACGGCCCACCAUGGCUUCGACGGGUAGCCGGCCUGAGAGGGCGACCGGCCACAUUGGGACUGAGAUACGGCCCAGACUCCUACGGGAGGCAGCAGUGGGGAAUAUUGCACAAUGGGCGCAAGCCUGAUGCAGCGACGCCGCGUGCGGGAUGACGGCCUUCGGGUUGUAAACCGCUUUUGACUGGGAGCAAGCCCUUCGGGGUGAGUGUACCUUUCGAAUAAGCACCGGCUAACUACGUGCCAGCAGCCGCGGUAAUACGUAGGGUGCAAGCGUUAUCCGGAAUUAUUGGGCGUAAAGGGCUCGUAGGCGGUUCGUCGCGUCCGGUGUGAAAGUCCAUCGCUUAACGGUGGAUCCGCGCCGGGUACGGGCGGGCUUGAGUGCGGUAGGGGAGACUGGAAUUCCCGGUGUAACGGUGGAAUGUGUAGAUAUCGGAAAGAACACCA